UACGAAGGGGGCUAGCGUUGCUCGGAAUCACUGGGCGUAAAGGGUGCGUAGGCGGGUCUUUAAGUCAGGGGUGAAAUCCUGGAGCUCAACUCCAGAACUGCCUUUGAUACUGAAGAUCUUGAGUUCGGGAGAGGUGAGUGGAACUGCGAGUGUAGAGGUGAAAUUCGAUAGAUAUUCGGAAGAACACCAGUGGCGAAGGCGGCUCACUGGCCCGGUACUGACGCUGAGGUGCGAAAGCGUGGGGAGCAAACAGGG
This 255-nucleotide ribosomal RNA is filed under the name uncultured bacterium. Its description in RNAcentral is "partial 16S ribosomal RNA". It matches the Rfam family "Bacterial small subunit ribosomal RNA", at positions 524 to 777 of the family's 1533-position model. The record is from RNAcentral.